GCUAACUGAGGUGCCGCGGCCAGGGUAAAACGAAGGAGGCAAGGUUUAUCCGGAUUUACGGGGCGUAAAGGUGACGCAGGCGGUUAUGGAAGUCGGACGUGAAAGCGCCUAGCUAAACUGGGAGAGGUCGUUCGAAACUGCAUAGGUUGAGGUUGGAAGAGGAGAGCGGAACUCCCGGUGUAGUGGUGGAAUGCGUAGAUAUCGGGAAGAACACCAGUGGCGAAGGCGGCUCUCUGGUCCAAAUCUGACGCUCAUGUGCGAAAGCGUGGGUAGCGAACGGGAUUAGAUACCCGAGUAGUC
RNAcentral lists this ribosomal RNA (300 nucleotides) under uncultured Bacillus sp. Its description in RNAcentral is "bacterial SSU rRNA". It matches the Rfam family "Bacterial small subunit ribosomal RNA", at positions 496 to 795 of the family's 1533-position model. Lineage: Bacteria; Bacillati; Bacillota; Bacilli; Caryophanales; Bacillaceae. The record is from RNAcentral.